CUUCAUGGUUGAGGAAAAAAAGCUGAGGAAAGAGGAGGAACUUGAUAUGUCUAGGUAGUAGCUGUUCCCUGGGACUACCUGACACCUUAGAAAGGUAACCAGACUUACAGCCUCUCCUCCCCACAUUCUCGCUGCCCCCACCCCAUUCUGGGGUUUAAACCUUGGCACUUUACCACUAAGCAACAUCCCAGGUCCUUUUUAUUUAUUUUGAGACAGGGUUUUGCUAAGUUGGUGAAGGUCUCACUAAAUUGGUGAGGUUGGCCUCCAUCUUGCCAUGCUUCUAACUUAGCUUCCUAGGUCAUCAUUUUUUGCACAAGAGUGCUGCAGCAAGACCACAGAGAUGUGAGAUCCCAGGGCCACUGUUGCCAGCAGAGUGCCCUUAUCCCCCAGUGAAUGGGGCACCCUUCUUGUCGGCCUGAAAAAUGCGUCCUCAGGUAAGACCUCACUAAUUCAGAAGUACUCUGAAUGCAUGUCUCCCUCUUGCCAUCUGCUAAGCCACACCCUGGUCCCAAAUCCUCCUUAUAGCUCCUUGGCAGUGGUUAUGUUCCUGAAAGCUGGGUCCUUGUCCCCAUGUCAAUCAAAUAAUGAAGACAUGGUUUUUGGGUUUUUAAAUUUUUUUUUAGUUAUACAUGGACACAAUAUCUUUAUUUUGUUUAUUUAUUUUUAUGUGGUGCUGAGGAUCGAACACUUUAUAUAUACCUGAGACAAAACAGUGUACUUCACUAAUGUAAUGUGCAUUACCACAUUAGCCUCAAAUAAAAUCAGGAUGUAGUACACAUAAUUAUCACCAUAUGGUAAGUCUUCUAUGAAUCAUCAGUAAGAGAGGCACAUCUAUUUGUUGCUGAUUAUAUACAUCCAGAAGACAGCAUUCUUCACUUUGCUUUACCACAUGUCCUCAGACAACAUCAGGAUACAUGGUGAAAGGAGACUUAUAAAGCAGUAUAUGGGAGUCAAAAGGUCAUCAUUUUUUGCACUUGUCCUCGGAAAACAUCCAUCAGAGUGACAUUAAAGUGCUCUUCAUUCUGAAUGUGGGUAUAAAAGUAACAUUCCCAGAGCCUGUGUUCAUACUAUAGUGGAUGUAUUCUUUACUACCAUUCACUAAUGAAUUUUUGGUUUUUUUCCAUAGGAUUUGGAGGAUAACACCCAGACAGGGAAACGUGCCAUUGUUCCUGCUACUAAAUAUUGUUUCAUUUUCUUUGUGCUACAUAUUUUUGACAUAUGAAAGUUUGUCUCCAUUGUGAAUUUUUUUCCAGUUAGGGAUACCUGGCACAGCUUUGAUUAGGGAGGGAAAUUUUGACUCUGCUUCGGGAUGGAGUGAAAUGAUUCUCUCAACCCAAGGUAGAAGGGUAAGUAUCUUUCUUGAUGGUGAUAUCCACAUAGAAAGGUAGUAAUGUAGUGAUAUUACAUAUUGUGAUACCACUCAGAAAGACAAAAUUAUCCUGGCUGAGGCAGAAGGAUCGUAUGAUAAUAUUAUUUUUACUGAUCCAUGUAUUUUACACAAAUGACAAUAGUUUAAACCCAAUGUGAACUUUCAUUUCACUGAAUGUUCCUCUGAUGGUCAUAUGAUAUGAGAAUCAAAUUUGUACACUAAGAAUAGUGGAAAUUUUGAUUCUUGACAUGUAGACAAAUCACCAGGAGAAAGGGGAUAUUUCUUAAUGCUAGGAAGAUGUAAAUUGCAGUAAAAAGUCUUCAAUAAGGUUUCUCACAAUAUGUCCAAAAUAAUAUCAGAAAGAGGGAAAGAGAAAUAAAAAAUAUCAGAAAUUUAAGGUUAAAUAUCGCAUAAUGAAGAUUAAAUUUGAAACACACACAUUAUUUUUCCAUUUGGUAGCCUCAAAUGUAUCUAGCAGUGGCACGUUGAGUGUGAAACAUGUCACAGUAGAAGAAUGUCUUGUAAGAAAAGUCCGCGGAGUUCCCAGUCAGAAUGGGGGACUCUACUCAGGACCAGAGAGAGGGGUUCUUGGCCUAUGGAAUGCGAAAUUAUUUCUUCUGGCAGAACUCUGAUUACGGGCGGCAAUCCUUCCAAAGUGUGCUUUGGAGUGAUGAUACGCUCCACUUGGCCUUCUAUGUGGAGUUCCAGAAGGUAAGGGAAGUGUGUUUACUGCUGGUGAUAUACACAUGGGAGGAGAUGGCACUUGUCACCAGUGUGCCUUACCACGUGGCCUCAAUCAUCCUCCAAAUGUGUGGCUGUAGGUGGCCUACCUUCCAGCUGAUCUUCCUCUGACACAAACCAUUGGGACUGUUCCGUGCUCUCUGGGUCCAGACUGAAUGUGGCUGUACAUGCCAGAAACAGGGGGGCACACAGCACACACGUGGGAGGUUUUCAUAGGUAGAGACUGAUUUGCAGCUGGUACUUUAUUCCAUUCCCAGGAGAGAUGAAUGCCUGGUGGCAAAGUAGUCCCUUCGGGGUGCAGUGUGACUUGAGUUUCCUCACUGCUACCCUCUGAAGACUGAGCUGUCCUUUCAGAUAGAUAGUGCCAGUUGGUUGGGUAUGUAGCUACACUGAAAUAAGAGGUGAGGCAGAGAGAGGCCGCUUUCCUUCAGAAUGUUGUCAACUACUGUGAGGGGUCAAGGCCAGUAUAAUUCACUUCCCCAAAUACUGAACACAGAGAGUGGGAAUUGUGAAGAAUGAUGGCAAGGAAAGGCUUGAGAAUACUUGCUAUGCUUGGUAGUUGUCCCGGAGAGACUGGUUCAGUGGUAGCCUCAAGAGAGAGUUUCAGAAAAGGAACCACCUGACUUAGGUGUUGUACUUGAGCAGCAGCUGAUAAAAAGAAUAUUAUAGAAUAUAUAAUCAUUUUAUAUAAAAUAAAAAGUAUCCCAUAUAUAACACUAUGAAAUAAUUAUACAUCAUAUGGAAUUAUGUAAUUGUAUCUGGAUCAAUGGCCAACGUCUCAUUGUGGGGUUCUUUUUCCUGCCCAGGAGAAUCUAAUCUACCCUGAAACUUAAAAGUCUCAAAUAAUUAGUGAAUAACAAAAUAUAAAUAUUCAGAAAUAUAUUUACAAAAGGCGAAGCCCCUGAUAGAUCUAAUCCACAUUGUGUCUGGAACUAGA
This 3047-nucleotide long non-coding RNA is filed under the name Marmota monax (woodchuck). Lineage: Eukaryota; Metazoa; Chordata; Mammalia; Rodentia; Sciuridae. The record is from RNAcentral.